RNAcentral lists this ribosomal RNA (441 nucleotides) under Salmonella enterica. RNAcentral's name for it is "partial 23S ribosomal RNA". It matches the Rfam family "Bacterial large subunit ribosomal RNA", at positions 1 to 472 of the family's 2925-position model. Lineage: Bacteria; Pseudomonadati; Pseudomonadota; Gammaproteobacteria; Enterobacterales; Enterobacteriaceae. The record is from RNAcentral.
GGGUUGUGAGGUUAAGCGACUAAGCGUACACGGUGGAUGCCCUGGCAGUCAGAGGCGAUGAAGGGCGUGCUAAUCUGCGAUAAGCGCCGGUAAGGUGAUAUGAACCGUUAUAACCGGCGAUACCCGAAUGGGGAAACCCAGUGUGAUUCGUCACACUAUCAUUAACUGAAUCCAUAGGUUAAUGAGGCGAACCGGGGGAACUGAAACAUCUAAGUACCCCGAGGAAAAGAAAUCAACCGAGAUUCCCCCAGUAGCGGCGAGCGAACGGGGAGGAGCCCAGAGCCUGAAUCAGCAUGUGUGUUAGUGGAAGCGUCUGGAAAGGCGCGCGAUACAGGGUGACAGCCCCGUACACAAAAGCGUAUGUGCUGUGAGCUCGAUGAGUAGGGCGGGACACGUGGUAUCCUGUCUGAAUAUGGGGGGACCAUCCUCCAAGGCUAAAUA